AGGAUUUUAGUAUAAUGGUAAUACAUAUGACUUUUAAUCAUACAGAUAUUGGUUCGAAUCCAGUAGAUCCUA
Colletotrichum orbiculare MAFF 240422 is the source of this 72-nucleotide non-coding RNA. The record is from Rfam. NCBI's taxonomy places the organism in Eukaryota, Fungi, Ascomycota, Sordariomycetes, Glomerellales, Glomerellaceae.